This 280-nucleotide long non-coding RNA is filed under the name Elaeis guineensis (African oil palm). RNAcentral describes it as "long non-coding RNA (EGUI_LNC078112)". The record is from RNAcentral. Lineage: Eukaryota; Viridiplantae; Streptophyta; Magnoliopsida; Arecales; Arecaceae.
GCUGAAUCUAGAUUGAGUUUGAUUUAAAGUUCUUAAAGUUUCACCAAGGGCUGAAUUUGUUACUUACCAUUAUGCAAUUGGUAUAAAUCAAGUAACUUUUAUCAUUAUAAUUGGUUUAGUUGGUUAUAAUUAUUAAUUACACAGUGACAAGUUUUAGAGUUCCACCGUCCAUUAGUUUUGAAGAUGCUGCAGUAUCUUCUACAAAUUGGACAGUAGAACAAAAAAAUAUAUUCAUAGAUUUAAUGAUGGAGCAAGUUCAAAAAGGAAAUAGAUCAACCAC